CGGGCGGUGUCAGUUGGUCUCACGCAAUCUCAGCUAAACCAGUCUGGGGGACUGGGGGUCGGAGGUUCAAAUCCUCUCGCUCCGACCA
RNAcentral lists this transfer RNA (88 nucleotides) under Hyphomicrobiaceae bacterium. RNAcentral describes it as "tRNA-OTHER". The record is from RNAcentral. Lineage: Bacteria; Pseudomonadati; Pseudomonadota; Alphaproteobacteria; Hyphomicrobiales; Hyphomicrobiaceae.